AACGAACGCUGGCGGCAUGCCUAACACAUGCAAGUCGAACGAAGCCUUCGGGCUUAGUGGCGCACGGGUGCGUAACACGUGGGAAUCUGCCCUUCGGUUCGGAAUAACAGUUAGAAAUGACUGCUAGUACCGGAUGAUGACGUAAGUCCAAAGAUUUAUCGCCGAAGGAUGAGCCCGCGUAGGAUUAGGUAGUUGGUAGGGUAAUGGCCUACCAAGCCGACGAUCCUUAGCUGGUCUGAGAGGAUGAUCAGCCACACUGGGACUGAGACACGGCCCAGACUCCUACGGGAGGCAGCAGUGGGGAAUAUUGGACAAUGGGCGAAAGCCUGAUCCAGCAAUGCCGCGUGAGUGAUGAAGGCCUUAGGGUUGUAAAGCUCUUUUACCAGGGAUGAUAAUGACAGUACCUGGAGAAUAAGCUCCGGCUAACUCCGUG
RNAcentral lists this ribosomal RNA (433 nucleotides) under uncultured bacterium. RNAcentral describes it as "bacterial SSU rRNA". It matches the Rfam family "Bacterial small subunit ribosomal RNA", at positions 29 to 507 of the family's 1533-position model. The record is from RNAcentral.